This 4159-nucleotide long non-coding RNA is filed under the name Homo sapiens (human). RNAcentral's name for it is "HSALNT0353953". Lineage: Eukaryota; Metazoa; Chordata; Mammalia; Primates; Hominidae. The record is from RNAcentral.
CUGCACAAAUGAUGCUCGGCAGCCAGAUCAUCAGACAUCAGGGCCCUGCCUGGCCAUCACCGCAGCGGGAAACUCACAUUAGAAAUUCUGCUCCCCAGAUAAGGCACAGGUAGGCAACUGCAUAGAGGAAAUGAGCUGAAGUCUCAGGAGCACAGGAUAACAUCUGGGGAAAUGUCCUUCACCCAGCACUCACCUUCCCAUCUUGCCAGGCCCACCAGGGUUCCAACACCCAACAACCUGCUCCAGCCCAGGAAGGGCCCAACGCUCAUCCCUUGCCUUCCCUCCACUGCCUCCCUCCACACACACGGCGAUGGAGAGGGGUGUGGGGCUGCCCAGGUGGGAUCACAGUUGUGGCCUGGCCCGGACUUCUCUGUGUUACCUUUGGGUACUUCCUGCCAAAUGGCCAGAGGUGCCAAAAGUGAGUGCUGAGCCAAAAAGCCUGCAGCAAUGGAAAAGGCCCUCGUGCCGGGCUUUCCUGGAGUCAGAGCCUCAGAAAGUCGGGAUACAGCAGGAGAACAUCUUAUUCCCUCUAGUGGCUCCCAUCGAGUGAGCUGGACAGGGGGUCUCUAGAAUGUGAGUGCUGGUUAUCAAAGUUCUAAGUUCUGUUGGGGCCUAUCACCAAGGAAGUUAGGUCACUUCUCUAAGGUUCCAUUACCUCGGCUCCUUCCUUCAAAGAGCUCCCUCCCCAAAGGUCUCUCUGAGCCAUUGACUGCUCACCCUCCUCCUCUAUGUCAUCUCCUUAACUGUUCACAAUUUUGCCAACAUCCCCCCUCUGGGAAAACCCAAAUGCAGCGAGGGCCCUAGGUUUGAGGAGAUACAGCUGGGUUCCAACCCUUCUUUUUCUUACCAGUUCUGUGCCCUGGAAAACUCACUGUACCUCUCAGAGCCUCUCCAGUCCCCUAACCUGCACAAUGCAAAUCAUCCCAGCAUCUGCUUCCCAGAGACAUCAUCAGGCAUACAUGAGAUAAUUCUCAUAACACUCAUAGGUUGGUGUCACAAGUAACAAAUGCACAAACUCAAGAGAAGGAAGAAUUAUAAGGAUAGAUGGGAUGCAGCACGGACUUAAACUGAAGACAUGCCCGGGUUCCAACAGUGUAAUAUUGGAAAAGUUACUUCCACUCUGGGCCUCAUUUCUCAUUCUGCACCAUGAGAGAGUUAACAUAAAAUGAAACUGGUAUAUGGUCAUCCUGUGGCAUAAAGCCUUCCAGUGGUUUCCUGUUAUAUUUAGAAUCAGACCUAGGUGUCUCAUCCCAGCCUAUGUGGUAGUCUGCAUGCAUGCACAGCAGCUUGCAAUGAACCUCACUGCUGGGAUUCAUGCCCUUGUUUAACCAUAAAGUGGUUACUGACUCCCCUUCUGACUAAGAGUAUACAGCAAAGUGACGGGUUGUCUCUCCUGUCUGAGUCAGUUAGGGCUGCUAUAAGAAAGUGCCACAGACAGGGUGGCUCACCAAUAACAGAAAUGUAUUCCUUGCAGUUCUGGAGGCUGGAAGUCUGAAAUCAGGGUAUCAGCAUGGUCCAGUUUUGCCGAGGUCCCUCUUCAGGGUUGCAGACUGCCAGCUUCUUGUUGUGUCCUCAGAUGGUUGAAAAAGGGUGACGGAGCUCCCUGGGGUCCCUUUGAAAAGGGCACUAAUCCCAUUCAUGAGGGCUCCACCUUUAUGAGCUAAUUAUCUCACAAAGUCCCCACCUCCUAAUAUUAUCACAUUGGGAAUUUGGCUAACAACACAUGACUUUUGGGGGACGUAAACAUUCAAUCCAUUGCAACUUCCAAUAUUUAGUUACAAAAAAAGCACCAAUUCCCUCGUACUUGCUGUCUCCUGUGUUUCUCCCUCCCUUUCCUUGUCCUUCUCUGUCCCUCCUCCUCUCGCUGCCUCUGUCACAGUCCUCUAACUGAGGAAGCAAGCUUUCAUGUCAGGAGCUACCCGACAUAGAGGCCCACAUGGCAAAGAACUGGGGAACAUCCAGGCCAACAGACAGAAAGGAACUCAGGCUUAGUCCAAACUGGUUCUGCCAAUACCUACAUGAGUGAGCUUGGGAGCAGCUCUUCCCACAGCCCAGCCUCGGUUGAGACCACAGUCCCAGCUUCAUGGGAGACCUUCAGGCAGAGGCACCCAGAGAGAGAAAAAGCUUGGUUCCAAACCAGGAUAUAUGAAUGGGACCCCUGCUUUCAACUCCCUAGCAGAAUGUCUAGAACCACUGUGUUGGCUUUCAUCUGUUUGUACCUUGAGUCAAUAUAGAGAGGAAGGGAAGUGAGAUGACAGCACCUAGAGGUCUAUCAAGUUGUUGCUCUAAAUUUUGCAAGUGACAAAGCUGCCUAUGGUGGUUGUAAAGUCUGACAGGCUCUUAGAGAAAGGAUGAGGAAUGUAUUGUUCUUGGGCUAUAUUGCUAAGACCAAAAGAACUAUCAGAUAAGAAAAAAAAAAAUGAACUACAGACAUGUUCCUGGACCAUGCUUGCUGUCUCACCCUCAUUCUAAAUGGUGCUUGCUGAUGAGAGAUGAAAAAGAGGAAGGACAGAGAUUCAACUCAACCAAUAGUAUUGGUCCUGCCUGCUUUGUACAGGCAUUUUGGUGUUUGUAUCCAAUGUGACUCUCUCCAAAUAUAUAGGCUCCUCAGGUGUGGACAAAAUGCAUGAAGGGCUUUGGAUGGAGGUUUCACACUGGAAAUAUGUCCAUCUUUCUCUGCCAAGGAUAAGCUACCAACAAAGCUGUCUUCCUUCCCCAUACUUGGGCCUUGAUUUGCACUCCCUUCCCACGAUAACCUCUCUCUUGUCUCUGGACAGGCACAAUGACCUGCCAGCCUUCUGCUUAGUGGCCAGCUUUUACUAAUUUCCCCUUCCAUCUACCUUUCCUACCCUAAAAACCACAUUAAGCAGAGUACCAAGGACCUCUCUACAGCCCUUGAGGAUGGGAAAUUAUGCCUGCCUCUCUUAAAAGAGAUCUAGAUGCUCCUGGCCACUGCCCUUGUUGUCCAAAGAUAUGCUUGGGCAUUUGCAGAGGAAGAAUGCCUUCCAUCUGAGUCCUGUUCAUUUCAAAAACUCUGCUAUUUGGCCCCAGGAUAUAUGCUUUCCUCUAAGGAAAUUUUUAACGUGGGUUCACAGUGGAGCUUUAAGGACUCUAUAUCCUCUCUGAAAUCAUACAUCAAAAUUUGCUUUCAUCUAUUCUGACUUCGCCACAAAAGGGUAAGAACCAUUGUGCCUACGGAGUAACCAGUCUGUUCCAUCUCUGAUAUCUCUUAAUUCUCCUGAAAUCCAAUUAUAUCCAGGGUAUGGGGGUGAAUUCUUGAACUCCCUGGGUCUUGGACCACUUCACAAAGACAAACAAACAAAAAAAACAACGUUCUAAUCUGCCCUUGCUCUGUCAGAUACCCAGGCAAUUCUGAGAACCUCCUGAUGUCUUGGACAAAAAUCUACCUGCAGAACAGACACUUUACCCAAGAACACAUAUGAAGGGCCAAUAAACACAUGAAGAGAUGCUCAACAUCAUUAGUCCUGGGGAAAUGCAAAUUGACACCUCGGUGUGCUAUCCCUAUACAUCCACUGGAAUGGCUAAAAUUAGAAAGACAGGCAAUACCAAGUAUUGGAGAAGAUUUAGAGCAACUGGAAGUCUUACACAUUACCAAGGAGAGAGUAAAAGUGGGAGUACAAAAUGGCACAGCCACAUUAGAAAACAGUUUGACGGUUUCUUAAAACGUUAAGCGUACACCUAUCCCACAACCAGAUGUUCUAUACUUAAGUCUUUAUGCCAAAAAACCACAUCACCACACAAAGACCUGCAUAUGGCUGUUAUUACAGCUUUAUUUAUAACAGCCCAAACUGGAAACAACACAAAUGUGCAUGAAAUGUGAAUGAAUAAACAAAUUGUGAUAAAGCCAUGCAAUGGCUUACUAUUCAGCACUAAAAAGGAACCGACUACCACUAUGUGCAACAACAUGGAUGACUUUCAAAACCAUCAUGCUAAGUGAUGAAGCCAGACACAAAAGAUGACAUCCUGCAUGAUUCCACUUAUAUGAUAUGCUAGAAAAGGCAAACCUAUGAUGACAAAAAUCAGAUCAGUAGCUGCUAGUGGAUAAAGGUAUGGGGAGAGAAUUAACUGUAAAGGGGCACAGGAGAAGUUUUGGAAUUAUGAACUAAUCCCAUAUGUUGAUUGUGGUGGUAGGUACACA